RNAcentral lists this ribosomal RNA (500 nucleotides) under uncultured bacterium. Its description in RNAcentral is "partial 16S ribosomal RNA". It matches the Rfam family "Bacterial small subunit ribosomal RNA", at positions 28 to 507 of the family's 1533-position model. The record is from RNAcentral.
GACGAACGCUGGCGGCGUGCUUAACACAUGCAAGUCGAACGGGUCUGCCCUGUUUUUUGCGGGGUGGGUCAGUGGCGAACGGGUGAGUAACACGUGAGUAACCUGCCCCUCACUUCUGGAUAACCGCUUGAAAGGGUGGCUAAUACGGGGUGUUCUGGCUGUGCCGCAUGGUGUGGCUGGGAAAGAUUAACUUUUGUGGUGUUUUGGUGGGGGAUGGGCUCGCGGCCUAUCAGCUUGUUGGUGGGGUGAUGGCCUGCCAAGGCUUUGACGGGUAGCCGGCCUGAGAGGGUGGGCGGUCACACUGGGACUGAGAUACCGCCCAGACUCCUGCGGGAGGCAGCAGGGGGGGGUAUUGCACAAUGGGCGGAAGCCUGAUGCAGCGACGUCGCGUGAGGGAUGGAGGCCUUCGGGUUGUGAACCUCUUUCGCCGGUGAAGAAGGUCCUGCUCUUUGUGGGGGGGUUGACGGUAGCCGGGUUAUGAAGCGCCGGCUAACUACGUG